GAACCCGGAUUAGAUACCCGGGGUAGUCCUGGCUGUAAAGGAUGCGGGCUAGGUGUCGGGCGAGCUUNCGAGCUCGCCCGGUGCCGAAGGGAAGCCGUUAAGCCCCGCCGCCUGGGGAGUACGGCCGCAAGGCUGAAACUUUAAAGGAAUUGGCGGGGGAGCACUACAAGGGGUGGAGCGUGCGGUUUAAUUGGAUUCAACGCCGGGAACCUCACCGGGGGCAACGGCAGGAUGAAGGCCAGGCUGAAGGUCUUNCCGGACACGCCGAGAGGAGGUGCAUGGCCGCCGUCAGCUCGUACCGUGAGGCGUCCACUUAAGUGUGGUAACGAGCGAGACCCGCGCCCCCAGUUGCCAGUCCUCCCCGCUGGGGAGGAGGCACUCUGGGGGGACCGCCGGCGAUAAGCCGGAGGAAGGAGCGGGCGACGGUAGGUCAGUAUGCCCCGAAACCCCCGGGCUCCACGCGCGCUACAAUGGGCGGGACAAUGGGAUCCGACCCCGAAAGGGGAAGGGAAUCCCCUAAACCCGCCCCCAGUUCGGAUCGCGGGCUGCAACUCNNNNCGCGUGAAGCUGGAAUCCCUAGUACC
This 584-nucleotide ribosomal RNA is filed under the name uncultured archaeon. RNAcentral's name for it is "bacterial SSU rRNA". It matches the Rfam family "Archaeal small subunit ribosomal RNA", at positions 721 to 1298 of the family's 1478-position model. The record is from RNAcentral.